This is a long non-coding RNA of Daucus carota subsp. sativus, 633 nucleotides long. RefSeq lists it as uncharacterized. The record is from RefSeq and is a predicted model, not a curated record. The transcript has 5 exons. NCBI's taxonomy places the organism in Eukaryota, Viridiplantae, Streptophyta, Magnoliopsida, Apiales, Apiaceae.
CCAUAUGUACAUAAGUCGGCGGCCGUCUCCAUAAUCCUCCACUAUUCUUCAUCUUCAAAGUAAACUAUCUAAAUCAUCUUAAACAGGAUAAACAAUGGAUGAUCAAGACUCUUCUUGCGAUGAAGACACCGAUGACAACGACGAUCAUGUCUUUUUGAUGAGUAUGAUUUCUACAGGAUUGUUUAUGGUACAUCAAAUCAUUUCAACAGCAUUAUUGUGCCUAUUCGGGUACAAGGCCGCAAAUGGAGCCUCUUCCGGAACGUCAUUUCGUCGUUUUUUGCAGAUGUGAGAUCAGUAUGAUCCUGAUGGGAUUAUGGUUGAUGUUCCGGUGCCACGGUGCAAGUAUGGGUAAUAAGAUCUUUUUAUCGAGAAUGGAGAUUAAAGAUCUGGAUUAACAAGCUCAAGAUAUUCUUUCCUACCUGAGUAUCAGCUCUUCAUGGAGGAAUAUUAUGUGAUUGUUGCAGCGUGGUAUGAUGUUAGAAUUUUGGGACCUGUUUGGCCCAACAUCAACCCAAAGCCCAGCGGAAGCUCAAAAAAUAAGGGGUCCAGGAAGAAAGCACAUGCAAGGCACGUGAUCGAGUUGGGGGAUGUUGGUACUCAAACAACAGUACUCAAUGUAGUUUAUUGAUUUUU